Molecule: small RNA, 38 nt
Filed under: Candidatus Protochlamydia amoebophila
Lineage: Bacteria; Pseudomonadati; Chlamydiota; Chlamydiia; Parachlamydiales; Parachlamydiaceae
Description: CRISPR-DR33
Source: RNAcentral
AAUCUCUUAAAUUUAGAUGCUGUAAAGCCGUUAAGGGC